GUCUUAUUCCAGCACUACAUAUACAAAAACUGAAGGAUACAGAGAAAAUUCGCAUUGCCCCUGCACAAGGAUAACACACAAAUUCAUGAAGCAUUCCACAUUUUU
Molecule: small nuclear RNA, 105 nt
Organism: Erinaceus europaeus (western European hedgehog)
Lineage: Eukaryota; Metazoa; Chordata; Mammalia; Eulipotyphla; Erinaceidae
Source: Ensembl